CAUGUAAUUUAAUUCGAUGCAAAGUAAAAAACCUUACUAGAAAUUGACAUGUUAGGAAUAUGGAUGGUGCAUGAUUGUCGUUGUCUCAUGUCAUAAGGUGUUGGAUUUAGUUCCACAACAAGCACACCCAUCGUGUUCAAUUACAAUCAUUUUGUUUAGAACCCUAAAUGGAUUGUCGGUGAAAAGUAAGAAGAAAGUGAAGAUGACAUCAAGCCCUAAUGGCGUAGGAAUAUUUCAUG
RNAcentral lists this ribosomal RNA (239 nucleotides) under Olea europaea subsp. europaea. Its description in RNAcentral is "Bacterial small subunit ribosomal RNA". It matches the Rfam family "Bacterial small subunit ribosomal RNA", at positions 938 to 1212 of the family's 1533-position model. The record is from Rfam by way of RNAcentral. Lineage: Eukaryota; Viridiplantae; Streptophyta; Magnoliopsida; Lamiales; Oleaceae.